UUGGUGUUACUGCGAAGGGGGGACGGAGAAGGCUAUGUUGGCCGGGCGACGGUUGUCCCGGUUUAAGCGUGUAGGCUGGUUUUCCAGGCAAAUCCGGAAAAUCAAGGCUGAGGCGUGAUGACGAGGCACUACGGUGCUGAAGCAACAAAUGCCCUGCUUCCAGGAAAAGCCUCUAAGCAUCAGGUAACAUCAAAUCGUACCCCAAACCGACACAGGUGGUCAGGUAGAGAAUACCAAGGCGCUUGAGAGAACUCGGGUGAAGGAACUAGGCAAAAUGGUGCCGUAACUUCGGGAGAAGGCACGCUGAUAUGUAGGUGAAGUCCCUCGCGGAUGGAGCUGAAAUCAGUCGAAGAUACCAGCUGGCUGCAACUGUUUAUUAAAAACACAGCACUGUGCAAACACGAAAGUGGACGUAUACGGUGUGACGCCUGCCCGGUGCCGGAAGGUUAAUUGAUGGGGUCAGCGCAAGCGAAGCUCUUGAUCGAAGCCCCGGUAAACGGCGGCCGUAACUAUAACGGUCCUAAGGUAGCGAAAUUCCUUGUCGGGUAAGUUCCGACCUGCACGAAUGGCGUAAUGAUGGCCAGGCUGUCUCCACCCGAGACUCAGUGAAAUUGAACUCGCUGUGAAGAUGCAGUGUACCCGCGGCAAGACGGAAAGACCCCGUGAACCUUUACUAUAGCUUGACACUGAACAUUGAGCCUUGAUGUGUAGGAUAGGUGGGAGGCUUUGAAGUGUGGACGCCAGUCUGCAUGGAGCCGACCUUGAAAUACCACCCUUUAAUGUUUGAUGUUCUAACGUGGACCCGUGAUCCGGGUUGCGGACAGUGUCUGGUGGGUAGUUUGACUGGGGCGGUCUCCUCCUAAAGAGUAACGGAGGAGCACGAAGGUUGGCUAAUCCUGGUCGGACAUCAGGAGGUUAGUGCAAUGGCAUAAGCCAGCUUGACUGCGAGCGUGACGGCGCGAGCAGGUGCGAAAGCAGGUCAUAGUGAUCCGGUGGUUCUGAAUGGAAGGGCCAUCGCUCAACGGAUAAAAGGUACUCCGGGGAUAACAGGCUGAUACCGCCCAAGAGUUCAUAUCGACGGCGGUGUUUGGCACCUCGAUGUCGGCUCAUCACAUCCUGGGGCUGAAGUAGGUCCCAAGGGUAUGGCUGUUCGCCAUUUAAAGUGGUACGCGAGCUGGGUUUAGAACGUCGUGAGACAGUUCGGUCCCUAUCUGCCGUGGGCGCUGGAGAACUGAGGGGGGCUGCUCCUAGUACGAGAGGACCGGAGUGGACGCAUCACUGGUGUUCGGGUUGUCAUGCCAAUGGCACUGCCCGGUAGCUAAAUGCGGAAGAGAUAAGUGCUGAAAGCAUCUAAGCACGAAACUUGCCCCGAGAUGAGUUCUCCCUGACCCUUUAAGGGUCCUGAAGGAACGUUGAAGACGACGACGUUGAUAGGCCGGGUGUGUAAGCGCAGCGAUGCGUUGAGCUAACCGGUACUAAUGAACCGUGAGGCUUAACCUU
This 1500-nucleotide ribosomal RNA is filed under the name Escherichia coli O157:H7. RNAcentral describes it as "bacterial LSU rRNA". It matches the Rfam family "Bacterial large subunit ribosomal RNA", at positions 1445 to 2925 of the family's 2925-position model. Lineage: Bacteria; Pseudomonadati; Pseudomonadota; Gammaproteobacteria; Enterobacterales; Enterobacteriaceae. The record is from RNAcentral.